UACGUAGGGUGCAAGCGUUGUCCGGAAUUAUUGGGCGUAAAGAGCUCGUAGGCGGUUUGUCGCGUCUGCUGUGAAAACUCGGGGCUUAACCCCGGGCCUGCAGUGGGUACGGGCAGACUAGAGUGCGGUAGGGGAGACUGGAAUUCCUGGUGUAGCGGUGAAAUGCGCAGAUAUCAGGAGGAACACCGGUGGCGAAGGCGGGUCUCUGGGCAGUAACUGACGCUGAGGAACGAAAGCGUGGGUAGCAAACAGG
RNAcentral lists this ribosomal RNA (253 nucleotides) under uncultured bacterium. RNAcentral describes it as "partial 16S ribosomal RNA". It matches the Rfam family "Bacterial small subunit ribosomal RNA", at positions 524 to 776 of the family's 1533-position model. The record is from RNAcentral.